RNAcentral lists this small RNA (28 nucleotides) under Bombyx mori (domestic silkworm). RNAcentral's name for it is "ovarian small RNA-14533". Lineage: Eukaryota; Metazoa; Arthropoda; Insecta; Lepidoptera; Bombycidae. The record is from RNAcentral.
CGUAAUUCAACUCCUCAAACCGGAAUCG